ACUAAUGAGGUAUUUUCAUCACUUUUAAAACAUGAUUUAGCUUAUUGCAUAUAGAUAUUGUUGGACCUGCUAUUCCACACGCAUAUAGAUUUUGUUGGACCUCCUACCCCAGUUUGUUGAUCUUUGAAUUAUAUGUUUAUGGAUUGCAGAACGGUGUUUAAAUAGCCAUCCAAAGCAACAUCCUACAAUGGCUGAGGUUAUGGUCGGACUCAAUUCUAUACUAUUUUUACAAGAGAAAACCAAUAAUACAUUGCACCUUGCAAGCAUGACCAUAUUCGGUAGAAAGAUGCCAAUGUUUCUCUUCCAUUCAAAUGGGGAAAACCAAGGUGUCACUGGUGACUGGAUUCUUCAUUUUGUUAAAUAAACUUUAGAAAGGUAUGAACACAUCACUCUGCAAACAAUGUUGGUAUUCCGUCUUUCAGAAGAACUUCAUCCCUCUUCUGUUGCUCUAGUUGUGACUUAGAUGUCACAGACUCUAUACAUUAUUAUAAUUUAUACAAAACAAGUUAAGUA
Molecule: long non-coding RNA, 513 nt
Organism: Lactuca sativa (garden lettuce)
Lineage: Eukaryota; Viridiplantae; Streptophyta; Magnoliopsida; Asterales; Asteraceae
Source: RefSeq, a predicted model, not a curated record